AUUCGGAUGGAGAGUUUGAUCCUGGCUCAGGACGAACGCUUGCGGCGUGCCUGAGAAAUGCAAGUCGAGCGGGGGCGUUGGCUUCGGUUGAUGCCCUAGCGGCGAACGGUCGAGUAA
This 117-nucleotide ribosomal RNA is filed under the name Armatimonadota bacterium. RNAcentral's name for it is "Armatimonadetes bacterium (groundwater metagenome) partial 16S ribosomal RNA". It matches the Rfam family "Bacterial small subunit ribosomal RNA", at positions 1 to 113 of the family's 1533-position model. The record is from RNAcentral. Lineage: Bacteria; Bacillati; Armatimonadota.